Molecule: ribosomal RNA, 584 nt
Filed under: uncultured bacterium
Lineage: Bacteria
Description: partial 16S ribosomal RNA
Rfam family: Bacterial small subunit ribosomal RNA
Source: RNAcentral
UAAGGAAUAUUGGUCAAUGGACGCAAGUCUGAACCAGCCAUGCCGCGUGGAGGAUGAAGGCCCUCUGGGUUGUAAACUUCUUUUACAGGGGACGAAACACUUCUAUUCUUAGGAGCUUGACGGUGCCCUGGGAAUAAGCACCGGCUAACUCCGUGCCAGCAGCCGCGGUAAUACGGAGGGUGCAAGCGUUAUCCGGAUUCACUGGGUUUAAAGGGUGCGUAGGCGGGCUUGUAAGUCCGUGGUGAAAUCUCUGAGCUUAACUCGGAAACUGCCAUGGAUACUAUGGGUCUUGAAUACUCGGGAGGUGAGCGGAAUAUGUCAUGUAGCGGUGAAAUGCUUAGAUAUGACAUAGAGCACCAAUUGCGAAGGCAGCUUGCUACAGAGUUAUUGACGCUGAGGCACGAAAGCGUGGGGAUCAAAACAGGAUUAGAUACCCUGGUAGUCCACGCCCUAAAACUAUGGAUACUCGACGUUGGCGAUAUGACUGUCAGCGUCUGAGCGAAAAGCAUUAAAGUAUCCCACCUGGGAAGUACGACCGCAAGGUUGAAACUUAAAUGAAUUGACGGGGUCAUAGCUGUUUCCUG